GAUGAAGAACGCAGCGAAAUGCGAUAAGUAAUGUGAAUUGCAGAAUUCAGUGAAUCAUCGAAUCUUUGAACGCACAUUGCGCCCGCCAGUAUUCUGGCGGGCAUGCCUGUUCGAGCGUCAUUACAACCCUCAGGCCCCCGGGCCUGGCGUUGGGGAUCGGCGGAAGCCCCCUGCGGGCACAACGCCGUCCCCCAAAUACAGUGGCGGUCCCGCCGCAGCUUCCAUUGCGUAGUAGCUAACACCUCGCAACUGGAGAGCGGCGCGGCCACGCCGUAAAACACCCAACUUCUGAAUGUUGACCUCGAAUCAGGUAGGAAUACCCGCUGAACUUGAGCAUAUCAAUAAGCGGAGGA
This 353-nucleotide unclassified non-coding RNA is filed under the name soil metagenome. RNAcentral describes it as "partial contains 5.8S ribosomal RNA, internal transcribed spacer 2, and large subunit ribosomal RNA". The stretch from base 1 to 120 matches the Rfam family "5.8S ribosomal RNA", at positions 35 to 154 of the family's 154-position model. The record is from RNAcentral.